Molecule: ribosomal RNA, 455 nt
Filed under: uncultured Leptolinea sp.
Lineage: Bacteria; Bacillati; Chloroflexota; Anaerolineae; Anaerolineales; Anaerolineaceae
Description: bacterial SSU rRNA
Rfam family: Bacterial small subunit ribosomal RNA
Source: RNAcentral
GACGGGCCCGCACAAGCAGCGGAGCGUGUGGUCUAAUUCGAUGUUACACGAAGAACCUUACCAGGGUUUGACAUGCAAGUGGUAGGAAGCCGAAAGGUGACCGACCCUUCGGGGAGCUUGCACAGGUGCUGCAUGGCUGUCGUCAGCUCGUGUCGUGAGAUGUUCGGUUAAGUCCGCUAACGAGCGCAACCCUCGCUGUGUGUUAUAUGUGUCACACGGGACUGCCGGUCUUAAGCCGGAGGAAGGUGGGGAUGAUGUCAAGUCAGCAUGGCCUUUAUAUCCUGGGCUACACACACGCUACAAUGGCCAACACAAUAGGUUGCUAAGCCGCGAGGUGGCGCCAAUCCAUAAAGUUGGUCUCAGUUCAGAUUGUAGGCUGCAACCCGCCUGCAUGAAGAUGGAGUUGCUAGUAACCGCAGGUCAGCUAUACUGCGGUGAAUACGUUCUCGGGGCUU